This 1963-nucleotide long non-coding RNA is filed under the name Daucus carota (carrot). Its description in RNAcentral is "long non-coding RNA (DCAR_LNC005281)". The record is from RNAcentral. Lineage: Eukaryota; Viridiplantae; Streptophyta; Magnoliopsida; Apiales; Apiaceae.
CAAAACAACCUUGCAAGUAGACCAUGUGGCGCUUCACUGAAUUAUUGAGGCCCAGGAGCUUAGUGAGCUGGUAGUCAGCACUGGGCAUAUCGUAGCCCGAAGUGGUGCAAAAUAUGAGGUGGGUGAUCUCUGAUUUGGAGUGCCCCCACUCCUUGAUGGCUUUGUCAGCGGCUUCUUUUCCGAGCUUCGGAACCUCCAUCCUCAAAAUUUCCUGGCGAGCGUCGAACGAGGGAGCCGAAUAGUGGCACAUGUUAGGGUUUUCGAUAUUUUAUCAUCAUAUUAAUAUAUUUUAUACUCGAUAAAUGUAAAUAUCAAAAUAUUUAUUCAAACACUCAAAUUAAAAACUAAUUUUCAAUUUUCAAUAUAUAAAUAACUUCUCACUUAUAAGUUAUAAUUUAUAGACACUUCUUUUAACUUAAGUUAGACGACCACGUUUAUUUCAUGACUUCAAAAUUCAUGUAUUAUAAUAAUUCAUUAUUAUCAUUAAAGUUAACAUUUAUACAACAUAUAUAGCUGACCACUCUUCUUUUGUAAUCUUUUUUUCAUCUCCUUCACUUAUUAGAAAGCUACGGGCCACCGAGCAGGUCUGGCUUGCGGGCAGCCAAACCAAUCAGCCAAUAACAAAUUAGACCAAAGCAUAUUAUAGCAGGCAGGUCAUGCAUACAUUGAAUCACAUAUAUAGAAAAACGUUUCUACAAUAAGAAACUUAAUGAUUUACUCUUAUACAAGCUAUUGUAAAUGUUGUACUUUCGUUAUGGGAGAAAUAGUUUCAAGCAUACACAAGGAGAUGACACAAUAUAUGGACAGAACAAAAGUUAUUAGUACAACACAAUAUAUAUAUUACUAUACGUUGAAACAUGAAAUUAUACAUAACCCCAUUAACUGGUAUUACAAGCUCUCUUAUUCUUACUCAAAACGUCUUAUUUUUAUUUUGAAACUGAACAAAUCUUGGCCAAGACUUACUAAUAAUUGCAAUUUACACAACAAUUAUUAGUCUGUAGUCAAAAUUUGGUAGAUUUUAUUUUGAAAUUUUAAGAUAGUCUGAUUCCUUCUCAUCAAGCAAUAACCGGCAUACUAUGCAGCACCACGGUUUCGACGGUAAAACCCGGACCAAACCCCAAAGCGACGCCCCAGUCGAGCCCAUCGCCAGUAGUUGCCCUGCCAUCAUUCAUUGAUUUCUUCCUCAUUUCAUCCAUAACAAAAAACACACAUGCACCCGCCAUGUUACCAUACUCACUCAGCACCUUCCGAGACGCCCACAUUUUCUCUUCUUUGAGACCUAACACAUGUUCCACCUGGUUCAAGAUGGCUGGGCCACCAGGGUGCGUUAUAUAAAACAGCGAAUUCCAGUCAGUUAUGCCAAGGGGCUCGAAAACUUCUUUAAGUAUCUUCUCCAUAUUCCCUGCAAAUAAUGUGGUUAUGUUCCUUUUGAGAAAGAACAUUAAGCCUGACUCUCCCAGUUUCCCACGGACUGUGUCCUCAGAAUCAGGCACUAGAUGUUGGGCCGCGAAUACAAUCUGGAAGAGUGGACGUUCGGUUAGAGGAUCCGGAUCAGACCCCACAAUCACCGACGAGGCCCCAUCACCAAACAGUGCUUGAGGGAGCAAAGAGUGUAUAUGAGGCCCUCGGAACGUGAUGGUUGUGAUCUCGGAACAAACCACGAGAACACGUGCACCCUUGUUGUUCUCGGCGAGAUCUUUCGCCAGGCGAAGAACCGUCCCACCUGCAAAACAACCUUGCAAGUAGACCAUGUGGCGCUUCACUGAAUUAUUGAGGCCCAGGAGCUUAGUGAGCUGGUAGUCAGCACUGGGCAUAUCGUAGCCCGAAGUGGUGCAAAAUAUGAGGUGGGUGAUCUCUGAUUUGGAGUGCCCCCACUCCUUGAUGGCUUUGUCAGCGGCUUCUUUUCCGAGCUUCGGAACCUCCAUCCUCAAAAUUUCCUGGCGAGCGUCGAACGAGGGAGCCG